GUAUAGGGGAGCCGUAGAGAAAUCGAGUCUUAAUAGGGCGUUUAGUUGCUGGGUAUAGACCCGAAACCAGGCGAUCUAUCCAUGAGCAGGUUGAAGGUUGGGUAACACUAACUGGAGGACCGAACCCACUGUCGUUGAAAAGCCAGGGGAUGACUUGUGGAUAGGGGUGAAAGGCUAAUCAAGCCUGGUGAUAGCUGGUUCUCCCCGAAAGCUAUUUAGGUAGCGCCUCGGACGAAUACCAUAGGGGGUAGAGCACUGUUUCGGCUAGGGGGUCAUCCCGACUUACCAAACCGAUGCAAACUCCGAAUACCUAUGAGUACUAUCCGGGAGACAGACUGCGGGUGCUAACGUCCGUAGUCAAGAGGAAAACAAUCCAGACCGCCAGCUAAGGCCCCAAAAUCAUAGUUAAGUGGGAAACGAUGUGGGAAGGCAUAGACAGCUAGGAGGUUGGCUUAGAAGCAGCCACCCUUUAAAGAAAGCGUAAUAGCUCACUAGUCGAGUCGGCCUGCGCGGAAGAUGUAACGGGGCUAAAA
This 533-nucleotide ribosomal RNA is filed under the name Acinetobacter baumannii. RNAcentral describes it as "partial 23S ribosomal RNA". It matches the Rfam family "Bacterial large subunit ribosomal RNA", at positions 655 to 1186 of the family's 2925-position model. The record is from RNAcentral. Lineage: Bacteria; Pseudomonadati; Pseudomonadota; Gammaproteobacteria; Moraxellales; Moraxellaceae.